AUUGGAACACCGAAAGCCAGAAAGGCUAAACAAUCUGCCCAACGUCAUCCAGCUGAUAAACUCCAGCACUAAGGCUGAACCCCAACACCUGAAUUCUCAACCAUCCUGCCCUGCUGGCUCCCCACCACCUAGGAGAUCAAGCAACAAGAAAGGUAAAUGGGGUGACGGCAUUCGAGCAGGAGUUGACAGUCAAGAAGCAAGUAAAGAAAAAGAGCUCUUCAAUUCUUCAAGGGUGAGGUGUUGAGGAAGACAGAGAGGACUCUUAAGAAGCAGGCACGAAUGCACAGAUCUCAAGGCUGAAGAAAAGCUAGCACAGUUGGAACAUGGUGACUGAGAGAGAGGAAGAAAGGAACCUGGAGGAGAAGGCAUAGACCAAUCAAAUGAGAGCUAGCGUCCCUUGGUAGCAUGGUUUGGAUAAGCAUCCCCUCCAAGGACCAGACUACCCCUCUGGAAAUGUCAACCCAAAUCAACUCUUCAUUCUACAAUCUGCCUUGCCUUGGCCAGGACGCUUCAUCACAGCAACAGGCAGAAAAGGAAUCUUGAAAGAAAGCUAAAUGGAAGCAGUCAACAGCACAGGAGAACCGGAAGAAUGUUAACAUGGACACCAGUGGAAGAAUUCAUUUGGGCUGUGCAAGCACCAAAGACCUGGAAAGUCUGAGUUUAUUUUUGCCUAACAGAUAAGGAAGCCAUGGGGGACUUGAGUCAGACCUGCCUCAACUACCUGGUCAGGAUGGCCUAGCAACAGCCUGGUCAGGACGGCCUAGCAGCAGCCUGGCUGGAGCAGGAGAGGCAAGUGUCCUGCCAGUCUAUCGUCAGGGAUGUGGAAUCCUCAGGGAGAAGAGGGGCUCUCAUAUGCAUGUGAAAUAAGUGUAAGAAAGCUCUGGAAUGUGAACAUUCUUUCAGACUCCAAUGAUAACUUGAGAUAAAUUUGGACUUCUGGGACAUCCUAUUUCUGUUCUAUGUCUUCACCCACUCCCUUCUUGGCUGGUGGGAAAAAGAGGUAAAGAAUUUAAGAAUGGGAGGUAUUUAUUCUCAUUUUUUUUUCUGUUUGUUUAA
Molecule: long non-coding RNA, 1056 nt
Organism: Microtus ochrogaster (prairie vole)
Lineage: Eukaryota; Metazoa; Chordata; Mammalia; Rodentia; Cricetidae
Exons: 7
Source: RefSeq, a predicted model, not a curated record